AGAGACUCUCAUACUGAGUGAAAUGUCAGAAAGACAAAGACAAAUACCAUAUGAUAUCACUUAUAACUGGAAUCUAAUAUACAGCACAAAUGAACAUUUCCACAGAAAAGAAAAUCAUGGACUUGGAGAAUAGACUUGUGGCCACCUGGGGGGAGAGGGAGGGAGUGGAAGGGAUUGGGAGCUUGGGGUUAUCGGAUACAACUUGGAAUGGAUUUAUAAUGAGAUCCUGCUGUAGCAUUGAAAACUAUGUCUAGAUACUUAUAUUGCAACAGAACAAAGGGUGGAAAAGAAAAUGUAUACAUGUAAGUAUAUCUUGGCCCCCAUGCUGUACAGUGGAAAAAUAAAUUAAUUUAAAAAAAACCUUGUUAAUUCGAUGUAUUAUUUCAUUUCCAUUUAAAGCAGGAAAAGUAGGAGAUAAAGGUCUACAUAGAAGAUUUUAGGUACUCAAUCAAUGAUUCACUAGCUCAAUAAAAAACAAACACUGUUUUGUUUAUCUAGAGUUGGAAAACUAAUAGGGAAUCUUAAUGUAAUUGUUACAUUAGAUUUUUCACAUUAUUAGAAAUGAUGUCCAUUUUCCCUUGGCUUUGGAUUUCAAAUCUGUAUUGCUCUUCGUUAUCUUAUUUUUAACCCAAGAUGACCUGGUGGAAAGCCUAAUAGAUAACCUUCUAUUUAAGUGUUAACUUUGUCAAAUUGGUACAAGGCUUAUGCUGCACAAGAGAACCGUGUUACAUUUUAUUGGUUUAUUUUGAACUUGUAGUUGGAAGAUAACAUGCAUACAGGGGAGUGCAUAUGCUUAGCUGCCUUUUAACCUGCAGAUGUCUUCUGCUUGUUGAACAGUUUCAUGGAGAGUUGGUUUGUCCUUCUUUUUGUACUUUAAUGGAUCAUAAUGUUUAUUUCUGGGCCGUCUUAAAUGAAGCUGCCACUAAAGGAAGCAAGAGGGCCAAUGUUAAUACUAAAAGAACAUGAAAAAGGAAUGUCAUUACCUAGGACCUGCUGAAAGUAUGACAUGUUAGGUUUUUGUGUUGUACUUGAUAUUGGGAGGGCUUAAUUUUUUUUUUUUUUUUUCUUUUUAUGGCCAUACCUAUGGCGUAUGGAAGUUCCUGGGCUAGGGGUUGAACAGAACUGCAGUUGUCGGCCUACUCCACAGCCACAGCCAUGUCAGAUCCGAGCCACAUAUGCCACAUAUGGUGCAGCUUGUGGCAACCCCAGAUCCUAAACCCACUGGGCGAGGCCAGGGAUCAAACCUGAGUCCUCAGGGACAUUGUGUCAGGUUCUCAACCCUCUGAGCCACAAUCGGAACUCCAGGUCUUAACUUUUGAUUGCAAGGUAGGAAUCCUGUGCACUUGAAACUUUCCUUGAGAGAUGUCUUUGGAUUGAGCUUAACUCAUGCAAGGUAGGAGUAAUUUGCUGCUGCUGCCACCUCUGGAAACUGUUUUAAAGGGUUAUCUCAUUUCACUGAAGCUCUGAGAGUCUGUCCGUGGAUGUCUGUCUCCCCUGCCCCCACCUCCAUUGGAUCUAGAUGGGAAAUGGGUGUAAACCUGAAAAUGUACACAACCUUAUUAAAGCAGCUUUGCUAAAUUAAUUGCAGCAGAGUCUUUGGGGUGUCCUUUUGUGGUGCUGCAGAUUGUUUCAAGAACCUUGGAUAUUUUGCCAAGUGUAUCACCUCAAUAAUCUAAAACGUUAACAAGUGAAACACUGUUCUGUGUCUUCACUGGCUUUGAGGUAUGUCAUGAUAGUUUAGCAAUCCACUUAGCCAUCAAACUCCUGCUUUGAGUUGUCCACACAAUCCUUUUAGUCUGUUUUUAGAUUUAUUAAGUGCUUCUCAUGUAUUUGAUGAAAAUGCUUUCGUUUAAGAAAUUGUUUCCACAUGACCCCAGAGGCCUCCCGUUGUAGUUUAACAGUAGUUGAGAUGUAGUAUUGUUUGUCUGGAACUGCAAAGUAGAGUCAAUGCUGGCAUAUUGGGGCACUCUAGGCUUAGAGCUGGGGGGCCCUCGGCGUGGUAAUUUAAUCUGUUCGUUGUAUAGUUUUGAUGCCCAGAGAGUUUCAACAACUUAUCCAGGCUGAUGACUCCACUGGUCAGGCAGCAUAGAUAGAUUCUGACUCCUAGGUCCUUUUCUCUUGCCUACGUUAGACUGACCCUGGAAUACCUGAAGAUGUUGAGAUCUUUGCCAGAGAAUUGGCUUUGCAUGAGAGCUGCAAAGGAAGAGGUACUAUGUUUGGUUUAAUCUUUCAAAGAGAAGUUUAUGGCCUUUUUAAAAUUUUUUUUUUCUUCUUAGGGUUGUAAAGAAGGCAGUGUUAAAGAGAGAAGAGAGCCGGAAAUGCCGUCUUGCUAUUAAAAAUGAGGAGAAAGAUGGGCUAUCUUGGCACUACCUUUGUCAGUUACACAUUCUGCAGCAGGUGCAUAUCAAAGAUGGAGCGGCAGCCCGGAGCCUUGGCAGCCUCUGGACCCCUCAUUUUCUUUUAUGUCAUGUCUAUCAGGACUCAUGGUUUUUGUUUCCUAACUAUUUCUCAACUCUCUUUGUGCUGGACUAUUUCUACCCAUUGAAUGUGUGUAUCAACCUUUUCUGCUGAUUAAGGAAGUUCUGCAAGGAAACAUUCUUUUUAUAUUCGUUUCCAGGAUCCCCUAUUAUAUUAAAGUUAGUUGGUCCUUUAAAAUACAGAAUGAUAGACAGAUACCUUUAAUUUUAACUUGCUUGCCCCUUCUUAGGUCUAUUCCCUUUUCUUUCAUACUCUGCUUAGAGACUCCGUGUGUUAGGUAGGCUGAGUGAACAUGCUUUUGGAAGAAAACUGGUUUUCACAGUCACUUUCUGUCUCAUGUCAGUGAUGGAGCCACUUAUGAAGCUCCCUCUAGAGGUGGAUUUGCUGUGCUGUGUAGCACACAGUAGUCUUGGCUUUAGCUUAGCGAACACUCCUGGUACUGACUUUCUCAGGUGGUCUCCAAAGGUUCAAGACAUGUGAUGAAAUGAGUCCCCAGUUAGGGUCGUGUCUUGGGUGGGCUGUGUGGGGAGCAGGGACUUCACUCAUGUGAACCAGCCACAGCCUUCUGCUCCUGGAUGGCUUUGUUUUAAGCACCUACUCCUCUCAAAGUAACACCUGUUUAUUUCUUUGUGAAAAUAGCCCAGAAAAGAAAAAAGGCCACCUGUGAAUGCCGUCGAUUUGUAAACUUGGGGACUGAUGAAAAUCUUGCUAUGAAGCCCUUCACUUAUUAAUGUCAGUGUGCUCAGUGUUCGGUCCAUGCACCAUCAGUCCUUUGCCUAUCGACUUCAACUUUGUAGGAAGCAGAACAGUGGUUUUCGGCUCCGGCUGCUGCUCUUUGGGAAUCAUGUUGGAUUCUGUAGACCUGGCAUUGAGCCCGUACAUCUGUAGAGUUAAAAGCUCCCUAGGUGAUUCUGAUGUACAGCCAUGGUGAAAGCCCAUUGAAACAGACUUGAGCAGGCACAUCAAAGAGUUCAGGGAAAGUGCACGGCCACUUGGAGUCAGGCCGCAGGAACAGGUAACGAGGCUGUUUUCACUGAGAGCCAGAGGGCCGUUUCGAUUUUGGAAGCCCAAAGGAACUGGCCACGCUGGGGGCCAGGAGAAAUUAAGCUCUCAGGGAUUUAGCUCUGUAUGGGCUCCUCCUCCCCAUUCCCCUCUGACUUGACAGACUUUGACCUUCUCCUGAAAUAGCUGUGAAUCAGAGUCUAUGCCACUGAAGAAGAAGAAUAUAUGGUGCUAUUAGAAAAGCCCUUUCUCCACUCUGUUGCUGGAAAGGAAGAACCAGGGCAGGGUGUUUUCUCAAAUUUUAAUCCCUACUGCCCCCCUUCAGAUAAUAAAAAUGAUCAAAUAAACUGAAAUCCCCUCUUACCCCAUCCUUGGAAAUGUACUUCGUUCAUUAGCAUAUCAAAGGCUGGGAAAAUCCUGUGGUUCUCUCUCACAUACACAUACAUCUCGAAACUUUGAGUUGAGCAAACUUACUUGCAUAGGAAGAGGCUUUAUGCUUCUGUACCUACAACUGAGCAUUUCUUUCCUUAACAGCAGUUUGGGAAAGACUGGCCAAGUCACUUUUUGAUUCAGUAAUUUUCUGAGGGUUAAUUUCUGACAGCUGAACCUCUUUUUAAACUCCUCUUUGAAGUUGGACUGAAUUAACAAAUGGAAGGCUUGGCAAAGCAGUUUACUAAUUCAUAACUAUAUCCCUCUGCUUUCUUUGUGUUGCUAAGUACUAUAAUCUUUGACCUGAAAGGAAGAAUACUGCUAACAAGUAAAUAUUUAAAAGGCCCCAUGAAGUAUAAUGUUAUAAUGUGCAUGAGUUUGUGCCUGGGGAGCCUGUCUGCUGGAUGAAAGCAGUGACUCACUUUUCAUCUCCUAAAUAGGCUGUUGUUUUACAGUAGGUUGAAAGGAAGUAUUUUAAGUGCCAAGAGUUAGAUUUCUUUUUCUUUUUAGAUUUAGUUGGCCAUUGGCUUCACCGAUUUGAAGGUGGCGUGUGAGUCAAAACUGCUGAGUGUGCCGGUCCUCUCUGUACGAGUUACGGUGAAUGAAUGAACUCUGUGCUCCUAAAGGCCACUUGGAACAGCGUGUGGAAACGGAAACAUGACUCACUGACAGGCUUGGAGAGUAUCAAGGGGGAUUCACUAACUUCAGAGCCAGACCCGAGGCGUGGUGAAGCAGGGAGAACCCAGAGGGAAUAGGAAACCAGGGUUCUGGUCCCAGCAGUGCCCAGUUGACUGCUUCGAAUGACAGUGGCCAGAUCACCAGACCUCUCUACUUUCUUUCUGUCCAUAAUGGGAAGUGUAAAUUAUUUGUUGCUAGGAUCAUUUCCAGCUUCCAGACUUAAUGAGUCUGAAUUCUACGGAUUUUCUGGUUUGUGUGGAAGUGGGUGUGGAUGUUUUUAAUGGUUUUCAGAUGGGACUCAUCAAGGCUCCAUGAAACAAACCUUUAUUUUUAAAAUGUGAAGUGAAUUGCUGUGACAGCGUAUGACUAGGGAGUUCAUGACAGAAAAUGAGGAAGCGAAUAAACUUUGAUUUACAAGGCUGCGGGCAGCUGGUUUCCUGAGGCUGUGGCAUUUGGCACAUAGAAUGAUGCAUAUGUGAUACUCUCAGAUAAAGGUUCAUUAUUAUCUACAGACAAAAGCUUUGAUCUGUCAGGAUUUCUUUUAAAAAGCUGUAAAAUAGCCCCUAGCUACCCUGUUCAAUGUGCCUCACCAUGUUUUAAAAAUAUAUUUAGAACACCCUACUGAAAUAUAUCCACAGACAUUUUCAUUAAGAAAUAGCAUCCUGCAUACCUGACACCCUCCAAGUUCUUGCUACAUGUUUUUUUUGCGUAGUCACUAUUGUAUAAAGCAAUCUUGGAGUUCCUGUUGUGGCUCAGAGGUAAUGAAUCCAGCCAGUAUCCCUGAGGAUGUGGGUUCGAUCCCUGGCCUUGCUCAGUGGGUUGGGGAUCCAGUGAGCUGUGGGUGUAGGUCACAGACGAGGCUUAGAUCUAAGUUGCUGUGGAUGUGGUCAGCAUUGCAGCUCUGAUUCGACUCCUAGCCUCCAUAUACCACAGGUACAGCCCUAAGAAGC
This 5537-nucleotide long non-coding RNA is filed under the name Sus scrofa (pig). RNAcentral's name for it is "lncRNA (ENSSSCG00000061985.1)". The record is from RNAcentral. Lineage: Eukaryota; Metazoa; Chordata; Mammalia; Artiodactyla; Suidae.